This 253-nucleotide ribosomal RNA is filed under the name uncultured bacterium. RNAcentral describes it as "partial 16S ribosomal RNA". It matches the Rfam family "Bacterial small subunit ribosomal RNA", at positions 524 to 776 of the family's 1533-position model. The record is from RNAcentral.
UACGGGGGGGGCAAGCGUUGUUCGGAAUUACUGGGCGUAAAAGGCUCGUAGGCGGCCAACUAAGUCAGACGUGAAAUCCCCAGGCUUAACCUGGGAACUGCGUCUGAUACUGGAUGGCUUGAAUCCGGGAGAGGGAUGCGGAAUUCCAGGUGUAGCGGUGAAAUACGUAGAUAUCUGGAGGAACACCGGUGGCGAAGGCGGCAUCCUGGACCGGCAUUGAUGCUGAGGCGCGAAAGCCAGGGGAGCAAACGGG